CUCUCUCAGGGUUGAGGCAGCGAAGGUGGUGGUGGCGGGGCGACGGUGAAAGUGGUGGCUGUGAGUGCUGGAGCUGAGGCCGCUUUUGCCGCCGCGGUGAGGUGUAGUCCUGUUUGCCGGCGUUUUCCGCUGAGUCAGAAGCGCUGGUGGUCACAGACUGCGCUCUCACCCACACUGAGGUCGAUCUGGAAGGAAUUUACUGAGGGGGCUCUCCAGCAGCUGGCUAACCGGGAAGGAAGUAGAACUAGAAGACAUGCUUUACUCUUCCUGAAGAAGAUACUUAAGCCCCUCAAGAAGAGAUUUAAUUUGAGCGCUGUGUUGAUUUGUGCAUUCCUUGUAAAGCACACACUAAAUUAGCUUCACAUCCCAGCCGUACCUUCAUCUGCAGCACACAUCUCUCCCCCAGCUCCUCUCAGCACUCACUUAGCCCUGUUCAGUUCCCCUGUAGGCACAGGUACACAUAUAUCAGCCUCUUGUAAUCAUGAAGACGAGGGACGAACUUACAAAGACACCCGGCACACUGUGACAAUCCUUAACUGGGAGAAAAAAAAAAGAGAGAGAGAAAGCAAAGAAAGGUAGAAUAAGAGCAAGAAAAAAAGAAAAGGAAAGAAAACUAGAAAGAUGCAGCAACCAGUAAAACGAUGGUGGCAAAGAUAAAAUGCCGAUGGAAAAAAUCCGUUAAAUGCAAAGUUUGAAAAAAACUUCCUAACUCGGUUAAUGCUGUGGAAAUAAUUCCAGUUCAUCUCAGUGCUAGUGAACGCCUAGUACAAAAUUCUUCAGAGGCGAGGGCUGGCUUAGUGCAGAGGAGAAACGUCGCUCCGUUGCCCUGUUGCAUCCAAAUUCUCCUUUCAGACAAGUUUCCGCGGCGUGAUGGAGAUGGGCAGAAGUCUGGAGAGUGCUUUCCUAUUAUAAGCUGUUAACUUGUUGGUUUGUACUCACAUAUAUUUUAAAGAAAUAAUAAACAUCUUAUAGUUCUGCACAUAUUCUAAAUUACAGUGGUUCUAGAAGAAUUUUGUAACUGACAAAUUAGAGCUUCGGUUUUACGAAUUCUGAAUUUUAAAACCGGUAAUGACUUCUCAGUCCCUGAGAUCCUCUUCUUUGUUUUUUUAUUUUGGGGUGUGUGGGUACGUGUAAGAUGAGAAAUGUACAAACACAAGUAUUUCAGAAACUCCAAGUAAUAUUCUGUCUGUGAGUUCACGGUAAAUAAAUAAAAAGGGCAAAGUGACAGAAAUACAGGAUUAUUAAAAGCAAAAUAAUGUUCUUUGAAAUCCCCCCCUUGGUGUAUUUUUUAUCUUAGGAUGCAGCACUUUCAGCAUGCCCAAGUAUUGAAA
RNAcentral lists this long non-coding RNA (1331 nucleotides) under Homo sapiens (human). RNAcentral's name for it is "non-protein coding lnc-HNRNPA2B1-13:6". Lineage: Eukaryota; Metazoa; Chordata; Mammalia; Primates; Hominidae. The record is from RNAcentral.